RNAcentral lists this ribosomal RNA (369 nucleotides) under PLO of Paramoeba invadens AGS-2013. RNAcentral describes it as "bacterial SSU rRNA". It matches the Rfam family "Eukaryotic small subunit ribosomal RNA", at positions 1464 to 1831 of the family's 1831-position model. Lineage: Eukaryota; Euglenozoa; Kinetoplastea; Eubodonida; Bodonidae. The record is from RNAcentral.
GUGAUGCUCCUAAAUGUCCUGGGCGACACGCGCACUACAAUGACUAAGUGAAUGAGUGAAACCUUCGGGUCCUUCUGCGAGAGCAGCGGGUAAACUUCGAAAGCUAAGUCGUGCUUGGGAUCGAAGCUUGCAAUUAUUCUUCUUGAACGAGGAAUGUCUAGUAGACGUGCUUCAUCAAAGCACAUUGACUACGUCCCUGCCAUUUGUACACACCGCCCGUCGUUGUUACCGAUGUCAGUUUGAUACAGAUCGACGGACCGCGCCCGCGCCACCCCGGCCAGGCGCGGGAAGUCGAUCGAUAUUAAACUAGUAGAGGAAGCAAAAGUCGUAACAAGGUAGCUGUAGGUGAACCUGCAGCUGGAUCAUUAC